UGACAAAGUUUAACGGCCGCGGUAUACUGACCGCGCGAAGGUAGCAUAAUCACUUGUUCUUUAAAUAAGGACUAGUAUCAACGGCAUCACGAGGGUUAUACUGUCUCCUUUCUCCAAUCAGUGAAACUAAUCUCCCCGUGAAGAAGCGGGGAUACAACUAUAAGACGAGAAGACCCCAUGGAGCUUUAAGCUCAACAUCAACUCUUAAUACAAACUCCACUUAACCAAAGAGAUAUGAUUGUUAGCUUUAGGUUGGGGUGACCGCGGAGUACAACAAAACCUCCACGCUGAACGGGCCUUAACCCUUAUCUAAGAGCUACUGCUCUAAGAAUUACUAAACUGACGCAAAAUGAUCCGAUCUUCGAUCAACGGACCAAGUUACCCUGGGGAUAACAGCGCAAUCCACUCCAAGAGCCCCUAUCGACGAGCGGGUUUACGACCUCGAUGUUGGAUCAGGGUAUCCUGGUGGCGC
RNAcentral lists this ribosomal RNA (472 nucleotides) under Microbatrachella capensis (micro frog). RNAcentral's name for it is "partial 16S ribosomal RNA". It matches the Rfam family "Bacterial large subunit ribosomal RNA", at positions 1910 to 2556 of the family's 2925-position model. Lineage: Eukaryota; Metazoa; Chordata; Amphibia; Anura; Pyxicephalidae. The record is from RNAcentral.